GAAAUGCGAUAGGUAGUGUGAAUUGCAGAAUUCAGCGAAUCAUCGAAUCUUUGAACGCACAUUGCGCCCCUUGGUAUUCCAUGGGGCAUGCCUGUUCGAGCGUCAUUUGUACCCUCAAGCUCUGCUUGGUGUUGGGUGUUUGUCCCCGUCUCCGCGCGUGGACUCGCCCCAAAGUGAUUGGCAGCCGGCGUACUGGUCCCGGAGCGCAGCACAUGUCGCGCAAACGAGUGCCUUGGUACGGCGGCGUCCAUAAGCCCCUCUCUCACGCUCUUGACCUCGGAUCAGGUAGGGAUACCCGCUGAACUUAAGC
RNAcentral lists this unclassified non-coding RNA (310 nucleotides) under plant metagenome. RNAcentral describes it as "partial contains 5.8S ribosomal RNA, internal transcribed spacer 2, and large subunit ribosomal RNA". The stretch from base 1 to 105 matches the Rfam family "5.8S ribosomal RNA", at positions 50 to 154 of the family's 154-position model. The record is from RNAcentral.